UGGGGGAUAUUGCACAAUGGGCGAAAGCCUGAUGCAGCGACGCCGCGUGGGGGAUGAAGGCCUUCGGGUUGUAAACUUCUUUUGCUCUGAACAAGGCAUGCCUUUGGGGUGUGUUGAGUGUAGGGGUUGAUUAGCGCCGGCUAACUACGUGCCAGCAGCCGCGGUAAUACGUAGGGCGCGAGCGUUGUCCGGAAUUAUUGGGCGUAAAGGGCUUGUAGGUGGCUGGUUGCGUCGGUCGUGAAAGCUCAUGGCUUAACUGUGGGUUUGCGGUGGGUACGGGCUGGCUUGAGUGCAGUAGGGGGGGCUGGAAUUCCUGGUGUAGCGGUGGAAUGCGAAGAUAUCAGGAGGAAUACCGGUGGCGAAGGCGGGUCUCUGGGCUGUUACUGACGCUGAGGAGCGAAAGCGUGGGGAGCGAACAGG
This 420-nucleotide ribosomal RNA is filed under the name Fusobacteriota bacterium. RNAcentral's name for it is "Fusobacteria bacterium partial 16S ribosomal RNA". It matches the Rfam family "Bacterial small subunit ribosomal RNA", at positions 355 to 776 of the family's 1533-position model. The record is from RNAcentral. Lineage: Bacteria; Fusobacteriati; Fusobacteriota.